This 316-nucleotide long non-coding RNA is filed under the name Homo sapiens (human). Its description in RNAcentral is "non-protein coding lnc-NABP1-2:2". The record is from RNAcentral. Lineage: Eukaryota; Metazoa; Chordata; Mammalia; Primates; Hominidae.
ACACAACUUCAAGCUAAUGCCUCGGGCUUAUUUAACAGUAUUAUCAUGUGAAAGACACAGCUGUGGAGAGGCAAAGGAUAGUUUGUGAAUUUGAAACAUUUUGACAUUUCCAGUCAGGACUGAAUAUGCUGAUAAUUCGCAAAAGUCCUGAGCUGUGAAGCAAAAAGAAGGCUUUCAUCAAUCCUGGGGCUAGUCUACUUUCUGGAAUAUGUCCAUUGUAUAAUAUGAGGAAUGAGAAGGGUUAUAUUCUGCAGAAAGUUCUACAGCAUAAUAACAAAUGCAGUAACAGGUGUAUGGCUGUGGUGGAAGCUUGGUC